AUGAACCCAUCUACUCUCUGUAUUUCUCUCAUAAGCAAUGAUCAAAUUUACUACAAACUUCCCCCUCAAUGGACAGAUAAAUGUCCAUUAAAGCGAAAGCCAAUUAACCUGUUGUGUCUAUUCAGCUGGCUACUAAAUGACCAUUGGACAACUAGUUUGAACAGAAACUCCUUACCCUCUUGUUAUUUUAUCCUUAGCGUGGUAACCGCAAUGAUGCUAAGUGAAACUAUGCAAUUUAAACCACCUGCUUUAUUUCACGCCCAAAUUAGUUUAGAGGACUGCCUUUUCAGGUGAAUCCGGUCCCCCACCUUAAAACAACACAAAAAACAUUUGUCAUGUGGUACAAACUUCUGCUAUAUAGUGUCAGAUUAAUUCAGAUACAUUGUGGCAAACAAUACUACACACCAGAGCAUACAUGUGUCAUUUUUCUGGUUACAAGAACGUGAAUGCAGUACAUGAACAAUGUGAGUACAUGAAGGAUGUAGAUAAUCUGUGUCACUUUAAGUAACAGAAGUGUGCCUUUAAAUGUGUGUAGCAUAUAUGGGCAUAGAUAGAUGUGGUGCAUAUCAGGCCGUCUCCAGUCUUUCUCUCUGGCCUUACGCUGAUGGGGUGGCACCGUCCUCAUUCGCCUCCUCCUCCUCCCCCUUCUCGGGCCCGAUAUGGAUCCAGUCAGGAACUGGAAAGAGGUCACCUCCCUCGCUACCUAUACUACUUUGACUGCUUUUCACUCUCUGCUUAAUAACUGCCAUCUGCAUCGUCUGCCUGGUUACUCCUCUAAGCGCUAGUGACCCCAGACAAGGAAUGCAACAACAAAAGAUGAGUCCUAGCACAACUACUCCUACAGUAAUCAUUAUCCCCACUUUAAUCAGCCCCUGUUUCCAGCCCCCAGCCAUACUUUAUACGCUCCCUCUACGUCUGCCUACGCUACUCUUAGCCCCUACUGACCCGUUUGCGUCUCUCCUAAGUCUUAAAGGAGUCAUAUCAUACUUUUCAUUCUAAAAAAUAUUAGACUUUAUUGUCUCAGUAAGGUCUCUGUAAAUUUUCAUCCCAUAAAACCCUUUAGAUCGUCCACACUGCCCCUGUCAAUAUGUGGUUCUCACUCCCCAUCAGCAAACGCUGUGUUUUCUGGGCGUGUCACAAGCGAAGCUGCUCACCACACCUCUGUGCGGAAGCGCAUACCUUUUUUGUUGUUGUUUUUUUUUUUAAAUUGGCUCCAUGGAUACGAGCCACCGCACGGUUACGAUACAAUAGGUGGCACUAGUGCGACAUUGAGAAUGCAAUCCACCGCAAUCCUCCACAGAAGAAGACCCACUACAGGACUGCACGACAUUAGUCAGCUGAUUCGUAGCGUUGUAGAACCAUACGUCUACGAUCCCGAAUCUGACCCUGAAGCUGAAGAGGAGGCUGUUGAAGUCGCCACAUUUCGGCUGAUGCAAGAUGUGUCUCAUUGGUAAUGUCGCAUUUACUUUAAUUUAAUUGAUUUAUGUAAUUUGCAAAGUGACUAGCGGUUGCUAAUGCUUAUGCUAAAUGGCGUGUGCAGCUUGAAUAUUCACAACACGACUUACCUGGAAAACUCUCGUUAAUAGAUAACACUACUUUAGCUUACAUUAUUCAAAUAAAUUUGAGAGCAUAGCUGAAAUAAUAUAAAUA
Molecule: long non-coding RNA, 1650 nt
Filed under: Betta splendens (Siamese fighting fish)
Lineage: Eukaryota; Metazoa; Chordata; Actinopteri; Anabantiformes; Osphronemidae
Description: lncRNA (ENSBSLG00000008534.1)
Source: RNAcentral